AUGAACGCUGGCGGCGUGCCUAAUACAUGCAAGUCGAGCGAACAGACGAGGAGCUUGCUCCUCUGACGUUAGCGGCGGACGGGUGAGUAACACGUGGAUAACCUACCUAUAAGACUGGGAUAACUUCGGGAAACCGGAGCUAAUACCGGAUAAUAUAUUGAACCGCAUGGUUCAAUAGUGAAAGACGGUUUUGCUGUCACUUAUAGAUGGAUCCGCGCCGCAUUAGCUAGUUGGUAAGGUAACGGCUUACCAAGGCAACGAUGCGUAGCCGACCUGAGAGGGUGAUCGGCCACACUGGAACUGAGACACGGUCCAGACUCCUACGGGAGGCAGCAGUAGGGAAUCUUCCGCAAUGGGCGAAAGUUUGACGGAGCAACGCCGCGUGAGUGAUGAAGGUCUUCGGAUCGUAAAACUCUGUUAUUAGGGAAGAACAAAUGUGUAAGUAACUAUGCACGUCUUGACGGUACCUAAUCAGAAAGCCACGGCUAACUACGUG
RNAcentral lists this ribosomal RNA (496 nucleotides) under uncultured bacterium. Its description in RNAcentral is "partial 16S ribosomal RNA". It matches the Rfam family "Bacterial small subunit ribosomal RNA", at positions 29 to 507 of the family's 1533-position model. The record is from RNAcentral.